CCACAAUCGUAAUCACAAGCUGACGCGGAAAUCGAAAUUGUGUGUGGCUUUUUCUUCAACCGGCAUGUAAAUUUACUUUACUAUAAAGCCUUGCCUAUUGCCUUGGGAUAUUCAUUGUAGCUGCUUUAACGGAUGUUUCUUCGCCAAGACGUCAAUAUGUUUUAGUCGCUGACAAAACUAUGUUAUAUCAGGGUUUCUAGAGUGGUGGUUACGUUUGAGACAGUUUGCUAAUCAGCUAAUAGUUAGCGAAAUUGAAUGGGAAAAUGCCAACCAGGACCUCGAUUAUUUCAUUUUAUGUAGUAAUUUUAGUUUUACAAGUGCAUUACAUGUACACUAAAGAUCUAAAAAGUUCUUGCUCAACAUGCAGACAGAUUACAGACAAUUUCAACAAGGGUUUUGAUAGAACGGUUAAGCAGAAUUUUGGUGGUGGAAAUACAGCAUGGGAGGAGAGGAAAUUGUCAAAAUAUGAGACCAGUGAGAUCCGUCUGGUGGAGAUUCUUGAAGGUCUGUGUGACAGCAGCAGCUUUGAAUGCAAUCAGAUGGUCGAAGAGCACGAAGACCAGUUUGAAGCUUGGUGGUUCAAGAGGAAAACCAAGCACCCUGACCUUUUCAAAUGGUUUUGCAUUGAGACCAUCAAAGUAUGCUGUCCUAGCGGAACAUUUGGCCCAGACUGCAAUGGCUGUGUUGGAGGAUCAGAGAAACCUUGUCAUGGUAAUGGCCAGUGUGAUGGUGAAGGGACAAGAGGAGGCAAUGGCAAGUGCAUUUGUAACCGUGGAUACAAAGGGGAACUCUGUCUAGACUGCACUGAUGGAUACUUCAAUGAGGAAAAAAAUGACACAUUCUCUCUUUGUACAGAGUGUCAUACCUCUUGUAAGACCUGCACAGGCCCCACCAAUAAGGACUGUGAUGACUGCAAAGAUGGAUGGGAGGAGGAUGAUGAUGAGGCGUGCAUUGAUGUUGAUGAGUGUACUGAGGAUUCCUCCUCGUGUAAAGAGGAUCAGUAUUGCUUAAACACUCCAGGCUCUUACUCCUGCAAAGCUUGUGACAAGGUGUGUUCUGGCUGUAAAGGGCCUGGUCCUGACCAGUGUCUAGCCUGCUCGGAAGGCUUCAUGGAGGAGGAAGGCAAAUGCACCGAUAUGAAUGAGUGUGAUCAGCCUGAAUCUGUAUGCGCUGAGGAGCACCAAGAGUGCCUCAAUACCAUUGGAAGCUACAAGUGCCAGUGUGCUGAAGGUUUCCAUGAAGAGGAUGGAGCCUGCAAUCCAGCUGCCACAUUAGCAUCACAACUUUUUUGGAAAAAGGGUUGUACAGAUUAAGGAAGAUACACACAAGAACAUGGAAUAACUUAAAACACAUUGUCCAAUUUGAGUGUCAUCAGGAUAACACGCCUGAGAGGAGAAUCAGCAAUCGUCUGAGGAUCAGCCUGCGGAGCAUGAGGACCUCUGAUUUUUAAUUUCUGGAUUGAACACAAGGGGGCGCUAAAGCACUGUGUUGGCCCCUCAUGAGCAGCAUGUCAUGUGCUGAAUGACGCUUUGGACAAUAUGGCCCUCACUGAACUAAACUGCCUCAAUUCAUGCCAAUUUUAUACCAGGAACUGGCCCAUGGAACAGUGGUCAAAUCUGUCUCAUUUUCUGAGUAAGUUGUAAGUUGUUUUUGCUGCCCUGUCUCUAGGAGGAAACAUUGUUUUUCAAGCCAAGCCAGCCUUUAUUUGUUUUAAUAAGAGGUCUUAUUGUGUUUGUAACCAAGCAGCUAGUAAUAUUUUCCUCCUUUGUCCCUCAUCAAAGGGCAGUGAAAACAGCAGCUCUGUUGGUUUUAGAAUGAACACCAGAUGGCAGCAUAGCCCAGAAAAAAGGAAAGUUGGAAGAAAUGGAAAUUUACUGAGAUUAAAUAAAGAAAACAUGAAAGAUGAA
Alosa sapidissima (American shad) is the source of this 1907-nucleotide RNA transcript. It is a transcript of the gene named cysteine-rich with EGF-like domains 2, with no coding region annotated. The record is from RefSeq and is a predicted model, not a curated record. Lineage: Eukaryota; Metazoa; Chordata; Actinopteri; Clupeiformes; Clupeidae. The transcript has 11 exons.